CUAUACCUACGGUACCGAUGCAAGACCCAUUCCUCCUCAGCCCUCCCCUCUGCUACAUCAACCUCACGGCCUCUUUUCAGAUCGCCUGGCUCCUUUCCUCCAUCAGUGGGAGUCUAUUACUUCGGAUGCCUGGGUUCUCCGAAUUGUUCGAGACGGUUAUGCCUUGGAGUUCGAAGAGCUCCCGCCCACAGGGCAAAUCCUCCUAUCCAACCCCUCUCAGGAAAUUCUCGCCGAAAUCGACACCCUCCUUGCCAAAGGGGCUAUUCGGCCUUCUCCAUCGGUACAGGACCCUCAAAACUUUUUCUCCAGGUACUUCACGGUCCCGAAGAGGGGAGGGGGGCUCCGCCCCAUUUUGGACUUGCGCGUGCUCAAUACGUUCAUACGCCCUACAAAAUUCAGGAUGGUAUCCAUCGCUUCCAUUCUCCCUAUGCUUCAACGAGGGGACUACUUUGUCUCCAUAGAUUUACGAGACGCUUAUUUCCACGUGGCGAUUCAGGAAAGCCACAGGCGCUUCCUUUGCUUCAAAGUCCUCGACCAAACCUACCAGUUCACCGUUUUACCCUUCGGCCUCGUCACAGCCCCAAGGGUUUUCACCAAAGUCGUCGCUGUCGUGGCUGCCCACCUCAGACUCCAAGGAAUUACAGUCUUUCCAUAUCUGGACGACUGGCUUCUGGUCGGGCCCGACCCUGUCCGCCUCCGUCGUCACGUCGACGUCACCCUCAAUCUUCUCGACUCUCUCGGUCUCCAGUUGAAUCUCGACAAAUCUCACCUUGUCCCGUCGAACAAGAUCCGCUUCAUCGGCGCCCUGUUCAACUCACUCUCUCAAACUGUCUCCCUCCCGCUCGACAGGUUUCUCGCUCUCCGACACCAAAUCUCCCUCUGCGAAACCAGCCGGAGGAUUCGAGCCCGGUCCAUCCAAGUACUCCUGGGUCACAUGGCCUCCACAGUCCUUACGACCCCGUUUGCCAGGCUCCAUCUUCGCACUCUGCAGCGUUGGUUCAUAGACGUCUUCAAACCAUCCCACCACCUCAACUCGAGGUUUCUCUCCAUCCCGCUCCAUGUUCAUCGGUCGCUCCGCUGGUGGAAGUCCCUCUCCAACGUUUGCAGGGGACUCCCGUUUCACCAACCUCCUCCUUCGAUCACCGUAACCACGGACUCCUCCAAUUACGGCUGGGGAGCUCACCUGGGCAGUCUCACCAUACAAGGCCUUUGGUCUCGCUCCGAAAGGGCCAAUCACAUAAACUUUCUCGAACUUCUCACCAUCUUCAAAGCUCUGAAAGCCUUCUCCCACCUGAUCUCCCAGAAGUCUGUCCUCGUUCAAUCAGACAACACAGUGGCAGUCUUCUACAUCAACAAGCAGGGUGGCACGGGUUCGAGGAAGCUCAUGCUCCUUUCCUCUCAGCUGUGGUCCUGGUGCAUAAGCCGCAAUGUGCAGAUCCUGGCAGUUCACCUUCCCGGGAUCCAAAACGACUUGGCGGACGCCCUCAGCAGAAUGACGAGUUCCUCCCACUAGUGGAUGCUCGAUCCCGAGACUCUUCUCUCUCUCUUCCGAAAGUGGGGAUUCCCCACUCUAGACCUUUUUGCCUCUCCCCAGAAUGCGCAACUACCUCGUUACGGCGCGAGACUUCCCCCGGCUUCUUUUCCGGGCUGUCUGGGAGACGCCUUCCUUCUGAACUGGUCGUCGGAACCGAUCUACCUCUUUCCGCCGUUCCCCCUGAUACCGAAAGUCCUCCAGAAACUCCGGUCGAUUUCGACGUCGGCGAUCCUAAUAGCACCAGCUUGGCCUUGACAGCCUUGGUUUCCGGCUCUUCUCCACCUCUCCAGAAUGAACUUUCUCACUCUACCUCUUCUACCACACCUCUUGUCGAGGGAAAACGGCCAGAUCCUGCAUCCGGAUCUUCCCUCUCUACAUCUCACUGCUUGGAGAAUUCUCGCCUAGCCUCCCUCCCGCAAAGCCUGCAGGAGAUCCUCCAGGCGGCCCACAAGCCGGCUAUGACAAGGUCAUACACUUAUAAAAUCUCCCGCUUCCGUGCCUUUCUCCGGUCCCGGGACAUCGCUGUUUUUCCGGCCUCGGUGCCGAUAGUAUUGGACUUUCUUAUGAAUCUUGUGGAUCAAAAACUGUCGCUCUCUUCUAUGAAGUCCUAUCUGGCUGCUCUUUCCUGGUGUUUCCAACAACAUGGUAGACCAUCUUUAUUCUCUGACCAUCUUGUGAAAACCUUCUUAAAAGGGUACAACAACAUCCAUCCGCCCUCCCAGCCACCCACGCCGGGCUGGAACCUCGAGCUCGUGCUCUCCCAGCUGACUACCCCUCCUUUCGAGCCUCUAGCGUCUACGACCUGCGUCUACUUUCUUGGAAAGUAG
Anolis carolinensis (green anole) is the source of this 2361-nucleotide long non-coding RNA. The record is from Ensembl. NCBI's taxonomy places the organism in Eukaryota, Metazoa, Chordata, Lepidosauria, Squamata, Anolidae.